GACGAACGCUGGCGGCGUGCUUAACACAUGCAAGUCGAACGGAAAGACCCUGCUUUUGUGGGUUGCUCGUUUGGCGAACGGGUGAGUAACACGUGAGUAACCUGCCCUUGACUUUGGGAUAACUUCAGGAAACUGGGGCUAAUACCGGAUAGGAGCUCCUGCUGCAUGGUGGGGGUUGGAAAGUUUCGGCGGUUGGGGAUGGACUCGCUGCUUCUCCGCUUGUUUGUGGGGUAGUGGCUUACCAAGGCUUUGACGGGUAGCCGGCCUGAGAGGGUGACCGGGCACAUGGGGACUGAGAGACGGACCAGAAUCCUACGGGAGGCAGCAGUGGGGAAUAUUGCACAAUGGGCGGAAGUCUGAUGCAGCAACGCCGCGUGCGGGAUGACGGGCUUCGGGUUGUAAACCGCUUUGGCAGGUGACGAAGAGUGAGUGACGGUAAUGGGUAAAGAAGCACCGGCUAACUACGUG
Molecule: ribosomal RNA, 468 nt
Filed under: uncultured bacterium
Lineage: Bacteria
Description: partial 16S ribosomal RNA
Rfam family: Bacterial small subunit ribosomal RNA
Source: RNAcentral